Molecule: ribosomal RNA, 254 nt
Filed under: uncultured bacterium
Lineage: Bacteria
Description: partial 16S ribosomal RNA
Rfam family: Bacterial small subunit ribosomal RNA
Source: RNAcentral
UACGGGGGGGGGCAAGCGUUGUUCGGAAUUACUGGGCGUAAAGGGCGCGUAGGCGGUUUGCUAAGUUGAAUGUGAAAACUCUGGGCUUAACCCAGAGCCUGCAUUCAAUACUGGCAGGCUAGAGUUCUGGAGGGGAUAGCGGAAUUCCUGGUGUAGCGGUGAAAUGCGUAGAUAUCAGGAGGAACACCGGUGGCGAAGGCGGCUAUCUGGACAGAGUCUGACGCUGAGGCGCGAAAGCUAGGGGAGCAAACAGG